RNAcentral lists this transfer RNA (72 nucleotides) under Bos taurus (domestic cattle). It matches the Rfam family "tRNA". From Rfam's summary of the family: Transfer RNA (tRNA) molecules are approximately 80 nucleotides in length. The record is from Rfam by way of RNAcentral. RNAcentral also lists the same sequence under 6 other names. Lineage: Eukaryota; Metazoa; Chordata; Mammalia; Artiodactyla; Bovidae.
UCCCUGUUGACUCAGACAGUAAAGAAUCUGUCUGCAAUGCAGGAGACCCAGGUUCAAUUCCUGGGUCAGGAA